This 429-nucleotide ribosomal RNA is filed under the name Bacillota bacterium. RNAcentral's name for it is "Firmicutes bacterium partial 16S ribosomal RNA". It matches the Rfam family "Bacterial small subunit ribosomal RNA", at positions 355 to 776 of the family's 1533-position model. The record is from RNAcentral. Lineage: Bacteria; Bacillati; Bacillota.
UAGGGAAUCUUCGGCAAUGGACGGAAGUCUGACCGAGCAACGACGCGUGAGUGAAGAAGGUUUUCGGAUCGUAAAGCUAUGUUGUUAGAGAAGAACGUUGGUAGGAGUGGAAAAUCUACCAAGUGACGGUAACUAACCAGAAAGGGACGGAUAACUACGUGCCAGCAGCCGCGGUAAUACGUAGGUCCCGAGCGUUGUCCGGAUUUAUUGGGCGUAAAGCGAGCGCAGGCGGUUCUUUAAGUCUGAAGUUAAAGGCAGUGGCUUAACCAUUGUACUCUUUGGAAACUAGAGGACUUGAGUGCAGAAGGGGAGAGUAGAAUUCCAUGUGUAGCGGUGAAAUGCGUAGAUAUAUGGACGAACACCGGUGGCGAAAGCUGCUCUCUGGUCUGUAACUGACGCUGAGGCUCGAAAGCGUGGGGAGCAAACAGG